GCUUGGGCCUAUAGCCCCAGCUACUUCGGAAGCUGAAGCUGGAGGACUGCUUGACUCCAAAAGUUCUGGGCUGCAGCAUGCUAUGCUAAAAGCUUGUCCAACUAAGUUCAGCAUCAAUAUGGUGAACUCUUGGGAGCGGGGAAAUCACCAGAUUAUUUAAGGAGUGAUGAACUGGCCCAGGCUGGAAACAGAGUAGGUCAAAACUCCUGUGCUUAUCUGAUCAGUAGAGGGAUUACGCCUGUGAACAGCACUGCACUCCAACCUGGGCAACAUAAUGUGACUCCAUCUUUU
This 291-nucleotide signal recognition particle RNA is filed under the name Saimiri boliviensis boliviensis (Bolivian squirrel monkey). RNAcentral describes it as "Metazoan signal recognition particle RNA (ENSSBOG00000008715.1)". It matches the Rfam family "Metazoan signal recognition particle RNA". From Rfam's summary of the family: The signal recognition particle (SRP) is a universally conserved ribonucleoprotein. It is involved in the co-translational targeting of proteins to membranes. The record is from RNAcentral. Lineage: Eukaryota; Metazoa; Chordata; Mammalia; Primates; Cebidae.